Cinara cedri is the source of this 641-nucleotide non-coding RNA. NCBI's taxonomy places the organism in Eukaryota, Metazoa, Arthropoda, Insecta, Hemiptera, Aphididae. The record is from the annotation of a GenBank genome assembly.
AAAUUAUAAAUUACAAACAUUUCAAGUAAUGUAAUGAUGAAAUAAUUAAUUGAUCAGUUAUAAAGUAGUUCCUCACUAUUUACUUUGCUAUGAUAACAGACAAUAUUCAAGACUACAUAUUUUUCCUUACAAUUUGUGUAUUAAUAUUUAAUAAUUAAGUAAAAUAAUUAAGUUACUGAAUCAUUGCAGAAUGGUUUAUAGACAUACAGAGUGUAACAGGAUUAUUACCACACGAAAUGCAUUUUGUUCAAUUCAUUAUUUUUUUUCCUAAUGAUUUGUAUUACUCUGCGUCCCAAUUAAAAUAUUAUGUUCUUUUAGGUGGGCGGGGAAUUUUAAAUCCAAUUUAUGGCGAUGAAACUUAUUUAGGUAUGGUCAUUUAUUGUUUUCUUAGACUUUUUGAAGUUUUUUGAAAAUGUGAAUAUUGUUGUGACUUGUAUAUUCUAUUAUAAUAUUUAAUCAGUAACUAGAGCAACAUCAUAAUUAAUCAUAUUUUGUUUGACACAAUUUUAUUUUAUAUUUCAUAGUAACGAUAAAAUGUAUUUAAGUUGAUUUGCAUUAUUCUUAUUCUUGUGGUAAAAUUGAUUGAACAGUAUUGUUUUAAAAUGUAACAGGUUACUUGAAAAUCGUAAUAUUGUCAAAAA